Molecule: ribosomal RNA, 194 nt
Filed under: uncultured bacterium
Lineage: Bacteria
Description: partial 16S ribosomal RNA
Rfam family: Bacterial small subunit ribosomal RNA
Source: RNAcentral
CCUACGGGAGGCAGCAGUGGGGAAUUUUUCGCAAUGGGGGCAACCCUGACGAAGCAAUGCCGCGUGAAUGAUCGAGGCCUUCGGGUUGUAAAGAGGUUUCGUGGAGGACGAAAAGGUGGGUGCUAAUAUCGCCUGCUGUUGACGUGAAUCCAAGAAGAAGCACCGGCUAACUCCGUGCCAGCAGCCGCGGUAAU